UAGACCGCCUGGGGAGUACGGCCGCAAGGUUAAAACUCAAAUGAAUUGACGGGGGCCCGCACAAGCGGUGGAGCAUGUGGUUUAAUUCGAUGCAACGCGAAGAACCUUACCUGGUCUUGACAUCCACAGAACUUUCCAGAGAUGGAUUGGUGCCUUCGGGAACUGUGAGACAGGUGCUGCAUGGCUGUCGUCAGCUCGUGUUGUGAAAUGUUGGGUUAAGUCCCGCAACGAGCGCAACCCUUAUCCUUUGUUGCCAGCGGU
This 261-nucleotide ribosomal RNA is filed under the name Salmonella enterica. RNAcentral describes it as "partial 16S ribosomal RNA". It matches the Rfam family "Bacterial small subunit ribosomal RNA", at positions 865 to 1125 of the family's 1533-position model. Lineage: Bacteria; Pseudomonadati; Pseudomonadota; Gammaproteobacteria; Enterobacterales; Enterobacteriaceae. The record is from RNAcentral. RNAcentral also lists the same sequence under 1 other name.